GGGUUAGUAGGUUGGUCGUGCCUUUGGUAUGUACUGGCUUCACUGAUUCCUCCUUCUUGAAGAACUGUAAUGUCAUUAAUUUGGUGUUGCAGGGACACAGGACUGUUACUUUGAAAAAAUUAGAGUGUUUAAAGCAGGCUAACGCUUGAAUACAUUAGCAUGGAAUAAUAAAAUAGGACGUAACGAUCCUAUUUUGUUGGUUUCUAGGAUUGACGUA
This 217-nucleotide ribosomal RNA is filed under the name uncultured fungus. RNAcentral describes it as "partial small subunit ribosomal RNA". It matches the Rfam family "Eukaryotic small subunit ribosomal RNA", at positions 653 to 864 of the family's 1831-position model. Lineage: Eukaryota; Fungi. The record is from RNAcentral.